RNAcentral lists this ribosomal RNA (492 nucleotides) under uncultured bacterium. Its description in RNAcentral is "partial 16S ribosomal RNA". It matches the Rfam family "Bacterial small subunit ribosomal RNA", at positions 29 to 507 of the family's 1533-position model. The record is from RNAcentral.
AGUGAACGCUGGCGGUAGGCCUAACACAUGCAAGUCGAACGGCAGCACAGUAAGAGCUUGCUCUUACGGGUGGCGAGUGGCGGACGGGUGAGGCAUACAUCGGAAUCUACUUUUUCGUGGGGGAUAACGUAGGGAAACUUACGCUAAUACCGCAUACGACGUACGGGUGAAAGCAGGGGAUAUUCGGACCUUGCGCGAUUGAAUGAGACGAUGUCGGAUUAGCUAGUUGGCGGGGUAAAGGCACACCAAGGCGACGAUCCGUAGCUGGUCUGAGAGGAUGAUCAGCCACACUGGAACUGAGACACGGUCCAGACUCCUACGGGAGGCAGCAGUGGGGAAUAUUGGACAAUGGGCGCAAGCCUGAUCCAGCCAUACCGCGUGGGUGAAGAAGGCCUUCGGGUUGUAAAGCCCUUUUGUUGGGAAAGAAAAGCAGCAGGUUAAUACCCCGCUGUUCUGACGGUACCCAAAGAAUAAGCACCGGCUAACUUCGUG